Molecule: ribosomal RNA, 484 nt
Filed under: uncultured bacterium
Lineage: Bacteria
Description: partial 16S ribosomal RNA
Rfam family: Bacterial small subunit ribosomal RNA
Source: RNAcentral
AUUGAACGCUGGCGGCAGGCCUAACACAUGCUAGUCGAGCGGAUGAAGGGAGCUUGCUCCUGGAUUCAGCGGCGGACGGGUGAGUAAUGCCUAGGAAUCUGCCUGGUAGUGGGGGAUAACGUCCGGAAACGGGCGCUAAUACCGCAUACGUCCUGAGGGAGAAAGUGGGGGAUCUUCGGACCUCACGCUAUCAGAUGAGCCUAGGUCGGAUUAGCUAGUUGGUGGGGUAAAGGCCUACCAAGGCGACGAUCCGUAACUGGUCUGAGAGGAUGAUCAGUCACACUGGAACUGAGACACGGUCCAGACUCCUACGGGAGGCAGCAGUGGGGAAUAUUGUACAAUGCGCGAAAGCCUGAUCCAGCCGAGGCGCUUGUGAUAAGAAGUUCUUCCGAUGGUAAAGCACUUUAGGUUGGGACGAAGGGCAGUAAGUUUAUACCUUGCUGCAUGGACGUUACCUUCAGAAUAAGCAACGGCUAACUUCGUG